UUUCCAUUUUUUUAAGUUUUUUUUUCUGCUCAGGAUGAACGCUGGCGGCGUGCCUAAUACAUGCAAGUCGAGCGAAUGGAUUAAGAGCUUGCUCUUAUGAAGUUAGCGGCGGACGGGUGAGUAACACGUGGGUAACCUGCCCAUAAGACUGGGAUAACUCCGGGAAACCGGGGCUAAUACCGGAUAACAUUUUGAACCGCAUGGUUCGAAAUUGAAAGGCGGCUUCGGCUGUCACUUAUGGAUGGACCCGCGUCGCAUUAGCUAGUUGGUGAGGUAACGGCUCACCAAGGCAACGAUGCGUAGCCGACCUGAGAGGGUGAUCGGCCACACUGGGACUGAGACACGGCCCAGACUCCUACGGGAGGCAGCAGUAGGGAAUCUUCCGCAAUGGACGAAAGUCUGACGGAGCAACGCCGCGUGAGUGAUGAAGGCUUUCGGGUCGUAAAACUCUGUUGUUAGGGAAGAACAAGUGCUAGUUGAAUAAGCUGGCACCUUGACGGUACCUAACCAGAAAGCCACGGCUAACUACGUGCCAGCAGCCGCGGUAAUACGUAGGUGGCAAGCGUUAUCCGGAAUUAUUGGGCGUAAAGCGCGCGCAGGUGGUUUCUUAAGUCUGAUGUGAAAGCCCACGGCUCAACCGUGGAGGGUCAUUGGAAACUGGGAGACUUGAGUGCAGAAGAGGAAAGUGGAAUUCCAUGUGUAGCGGUGAAAUGCGUAGAGAUAUGGAGGAACACCAGUGGCGAAGGCGACUUUCUGGUCUGUAACUGACACUGAGCCGCGAAAAGAGGGC
Molecule: ribosomal RNA, 790 nt
Filed under: Bacillus cereus
Lineage: Bacteria; Bacillati; Bacillota; Bacilli; Caryophanales; Bacillaceae
Description: bacterial SSU rRNA
Rfam family: Bacterial small subunit ribosomal RNA
Source: RNAcentral